This 1446-nucleotide long non-coding RNA is filed under the name Homo sapiens (human). Its description in RNAcentral is "HSALNT0394198". The record is from RNAcentral. Lineage: Eukaryota; Metazoa; Chordata; Mammalia; Primates; Hominidae.
GGCCCACUGCUGGAUAAAAGGUGCAGCACCCACUGGCCACUUCCACGGUUUACAUCUUGCUUCAAGGCCUUGUGCCCGAUCAGCUGAGCCCCUGUGCCAACCCUCAGGUUAGAAGCUGCUAAGACAAAUACGAGAUCUUCUGAGCGUGCCAGCCCAUCCAUCUGCACCAGUAACUCUGUCUUCAUCCGCAGGCUUCCUUCAUGUUCUCCCCUACAGAGAGACAAGACGUGAUUCUCCUAAGUGUCAGAGCCUUCGCCCUCAUGACAAGAGCAGCAUUCACAGCAAUGUCCCUGUGACUGUAGAACAGUUUCUGUUCUGAUGGCCAAUGGAGCCGUUCAUACUAGAGUUAGAGAAAAUGAGCAAUUUGCUGUUAUUUUCACAUACAGUAUGAUAGAAAGCAAGUAAAUGAAUAUAAUGAUGGUAUUUGAAAGAAAACCAAAGGCAGGCAGUGAGCUGGAGAAAAUAACUAAAGGGUCCACAGUCCCACUGGUAGAUUAAAUGCAGCCCAACUGUGUCUACCUGCAGCAUUAUUUACCUCUUUAAAAAUGACAUAAUUGAGGAUAAUCCCUUUCACUUACAUAGCACACAGGAAAGUACUUUCACACCCUCAGCCUCCUGAGUAGCUGGGACCUCAGGCACAAGCCCCCUGCCUGGCUAGGUAUAUGUUUUUUUAGGAUCUAUGCCCCUUAAUACUCAACUACCUUUGCCUAAGAGAGAAGACCGUCUCUCUCUAUAUAUAUAUGUGUAUAUAUAUAUAUAUAUAAUUUAUUUAUUAUAUAUUAUAAGCAUAAUAUAUAAUUAGCAUUUGCCCAUAUAUUUGCUAUAUGUUUAAUUAUCAUUUGCCCAUAACUAUAAUUCCUUUAACAUAAUAUUAUCGAAGUCUUCAGAGCACCCAUCCCUAUUUCCUGACCCUUUGAAGACUCUUAAUUUUGGAGUCUUUGAUCCCAGACAGGGAAAUGGAAAUUCGGGGCAGAACCUGGAGCACACACAAGGAUAGCAGAUGAAGAGUCUUCACAUUAGCUCGAUGAAGGUUGUGGGAAACUGGGGACAGAGCUCGACAAAGCACACGUAACAACAAGUGCAUAGGGAGACCUGGUCUUUGUAGAGUGACUAUGAGGGUGGGCUGGUGCAUUCCCAUCUAGGUGCCUGUGCAGUUGCCUGCUUCUAUCAGGCCUGGUAUAGAAAGCAGAGUGCUCCAGCCUAGGGCUGACAAGCACCAGCUCCAGUUAAGCUGAGGAAAAUGUCCUGUUUCAAUCAAUUACAUGAAUCCCAUAUAUUACUUGGGUACAUCUUUAUGGUUGCUUUUCCCUGCUGGGAAAAUGGUUUCCAAUGAGUAAAAUUUCAUAAAUUAUAUUAUAGUUAUACUUCCAACAAGCUAAUUAAUUGUGUUUUAUUACUAUUACUUCUGCCUUGAUGAUAGUCCAUUAAAGGUCAUUAAUAAAUGCA